This 253-nucleotide ribosomal RNA is filed under the name uncultured prokaryote. RNAcentral's name for it is "partial 16S ribosomal RNA". It matches the Rfam family "Bacterial small subunit ribosomal RNA", at positions 524 to 776 of the family's 1533-position model. The record is from RNAcentral.
UACGAGGGGGGCAAGCGUUGUUCGGAUUUAUUGGGCGUAAAGGGUGCGUAGGCGGUUUGGCAAGUCUGAUGUGAAAUCUAUGGGCUCAACCGAGGAACUGCGCCCAAAACUACCGUGCUCGAGGGAGAUAGAGGUGAGCGGAACUUAGGGUGGAGCGGUGAAAUGCGUUGAUAUCCUAAGGAACACCGGUGGCGAAAGCGGCUCACUGGAUCUCUUCUGACGCUGAGGCACGAAAGCUAGGGUAGCGAACGGG